RNAcentral lists this unclassified non-coding RNA (329 nucleotides) under plant metagenome. RNAcentral describes it as "partial contains 5.8S ribosomal RNA, internal transcribed spacer 2, and large subunit ribosomal RNA". The stretch from base 1 to 105 matches the Rfam family "5.8S ribosomal RNA", at positions 50 to 154 of the family's 154-position model. The record is from RNAcentral.
GAAAUGCGAUAAGUAAUGUGAAUUGCAGAAUUCAGUGAAUCAUCGAAUCUUUGAACGCACAUUGCGCCCGUCAGCAUUCUGGCGGGCAUGCCUGUUCGAGCGUCAUUUCAACCCUCAGGACCCCCCUUUCGCGGGGAGGGACCUGGCGUUGGGGAUCGGCCCGCCCCCCGUGGCGGCGCCGUCCCCGAAAUCUAGUGGCGGUCUCGCUGCAGCCUCCCCUGCGUAGUAGUUACAACCUCGCAUCGGAGCGCGGCGCGGCCACGCCGUAAAACCCCCGACUUUCUGAACGUUGACCUCGGAUCAGGUAGGGAUACCCGCUGAACUUAAGC